Drosophila mojavensis is the source of this 1069-nucleotide long non-coding RNA. RefSeq lists it as uncharacterized. Lineage: Eukaryota; Metazoa; Arthropoda; Insecta; Diptera; Drosophilidae. The transcript is spliced from 2 exons. The record is from RefSeq and is a predicted model, not a curated record.
UACAAGCCAAAGAACAAUAAAAAAGCUGACGCACCGCCGACAACAACAACAACAACAGCAACAACAACAACAGCAUGAAUGGCAACACUUGUGCGUGUGUCUCCGAGACUGCGAGUGCGACUUUAACUGCGGGUUGGGGUGUUACAAAUAGUGAAAUAGCCCAACGUACAUCGUAAAUAUUUCAGCUGCAACAACUAGGGAACAGGAGUGGCAACAGCAACAGCAACAACAAUGGGAGCAACAUGGACAGCAGCAGCAGCAAUAACGAGCAGCAACAGCAGCAGGAGCAGGAGCAGGAGCAGCGAGCAAGCGAGCGAACGCGCAUUAGGACUAUGACGAUGUUGUUGCGGGGCCAAGGAAUGAAUCGAUAGAUUGCACCUGGUACAUACAACGAAGAAAAUGUCCCUAACCAGAGCUAAAAGCAGAACCUCUACAACCUACGACACCAACCAAACCAGCAAACAACAAGAGCAGGAGCAAAAAAUAAAAGAAACAACAUUCAACAAAAACAAUAAAGGACCAAGUCGUAUAGGGUUUGGUAUUUUCCUGACAUGUCAGCCGAGGCGGGCGAGUGGGCGACUGGGCAGGAGUGGAGUCCGAUUCCGAGAUGGGUCAAAAAUUAAUGAAUAGAUUAUGAUUAAUGAGCGGCGACAUCAUUAAAAUGUAUUUAUAUAUUCAAAUUGCGGUUGCUGACCGAACAACAAGACAACCAUCAUGAAUGAAGCGACGCCCACACCAAAAAGCAAAAGCAAAAAAAGUCGUGCAGGGAUGUCCUGCCGCCAGUGAGACAGUGGGGCAGUAGUCGAGGCAUGAAUGGAGAACGGUCGCAUGCUGAAAUGUCAUAGCACCAACACAAAGCGUAUAACUGAAAAUGUUUAAUCAUUAGUUUGAAUUGCCGCAAAAAGUUUUUGGGGAAGCGAUGUCGCUUCUUUCUUCUAACUUAUUUUGUUUUUGCUUUUUUCAUUUCUAUUUUAUUUUCUGAGCGCAGCUAUUUACAACAUAUGAAAAAGUGCACACAGCAAAAUGUAAUAAAAACCACUGAAGGCAAAACCUAGUUGCGAAGAUAAAA